RNAcentral lists this ribosomal RNA (468 nucleotides) under uncultured bacterium. RNAcentral's name for it is "partial 16S ribosomal RNA". It matches the Rfam family "Bacterial small subunit ribosomal RNA", at positions 28 to 507 of the family's 1533-position model. The record is from RNAcentral.
GACGAACGCUGGCGGCGUGCUUAACACAUGCAAGUCGAACGGAAAGGCCCUGCUUUUGUGGGGUGCUCGAGUGGCGAGCGGGUGAGUAACACGUGAGUAACCUGCCCUUGACUUUGGGAUAACUUCAGGAAACUGGGGCUAAUACCGGAUAGGAGCUCCUGCUGCAUGGUGGGGGUUGGAAAGUUUCGGCGGUUGGGGAUGGACUCGCGGCUUAUCAGCUUGUUGGUGGGGUAGUGGCUUACCAAGGCUUUGACGGGUAGCCGGCCUGAGAGGGUGACCGGCGACAUUGGGACUGAGAUACGGCGCAGACUCCUACGGUAGGCAGCAGUGGGGAAUAUUGCACAAUGGGCGGAAGCCUGAUGCAGCAACGCCGCGUGCGGGAUGACGGCCUUCGGGUUGUAAACCGCUUUCGCCUGUGACGAAGCGUGAGUGACGGUAAUGGGUAAAGAAGCACCGGCUAACUACGUG